UGAUACGGUUCCACGGCAGUGGGGAAGGCGACGAUCCGGAGGCACGACCGACCGACCAGUUGCUCCUCUGCGACCGAGUAAAUUUUACGUUAUUUCACCCACGUGCUCGCAUGUGUGCGUGUUCUGUCACGUACGUCUCUCUGUGGAGAAACAUUGCAGUCAUUGACCGGUAACUGGACCGAGUAUAUAGGAAGAAUAGAGGAAGAUCAGAGCUUGAAGCGAUCGCGGAGUCAGCAGUCGUACGUAGAAAGUGUAGGAUGCGCUUGCGUAUUUUCGUUUCCUGCAUGCGGGUGUUUAGCGUGCACGGGGAACCCGCCGUCCAAAAAACGCUGUCGAGGAUGAUGCCCGUCCGAUCGGGAUGCGGAUCAGGUGAUUUGCAUGCUCUCGAUUCGGAGGAGUGACUGGUGCGCGAUGAACGCGAAAGCUUUCGCACUCAUGGAUUUUUCUUGAGUUCCGGCGUGCAGUGCUGCCGCCAUCGUUGUAGUGUUCUGCAAGAUUUCGUGGUUUUAAUCGGACUCGGCGUAGAGCGAUGUAUCGACGGAACGUUAAUUAAAGGAUACGUGAGAGUAUAGCGAGUUACAAGUUAGUUUGCCGCUAAUUAUCGCGUCUCGCCGAAUGUCGGAUGAGAAAGAGGGAGGAAGGACGUAAGGGCGGGAGGAAGAGGGAGACAGGGAGAAAGAGAGCGGAUAGAGGGAAAAAUAAAUAACUCGGAAAUAUUAAGCGUUCCGAUCUCUUUAACUCGACUUCAGUACGCUUCGACGCGCCUGCCGCGGAACUCACCUCCCGCCUUUAUCGCGAACGCUGUCACGAUUCAUACACGCUGGUCAUUCGAAAAAACUCAAUCGGAAGAUAAUACUUCAUAUACAAGACAAUCGAGAGAUCCACGUACUUAGAUAUGCUCGUCCCGGCAGAUCACGCUCUCCAUGACGCGAUACAGGUAUCGCCGCUCGUGCUCUUGGACGACGUUAGGCGGCAAAAGGUAAGCGCAC
Molecule: non-coding RNA, 989 nt
Organism: Nomia melanderi (Alkali bee)
Lineage: Eukaryota; Metazoa; Arthropoda; Insecta; Hymenoptera; Halictidae
Source: RefSeq, a predicted model, not a curated record